AGGACGAACGCUGGCGGCGUGCCUAACACAUGCAAGUCGAGCGGGGACAUGGAAGUAGCAAUACGGAAAUGUCUAGCGGCGGACGGGUGGGUAACGCGUGAGCAACCUGUCCCAGUCAGGGGGAUAACGAGCCGAAAGGCUCCCUAAUACCGCAUGAGACCACAGCAUCACAUGGUGCAGGGGUCAAAGGAGAGAUCCGGACUGGGGUGGGCUCGCGUCUGAUUAGCUAGUUGGUGAGGUAAAGGCCCACCAAGGCGACGAUCAGUAGCCGACCUGAGAGGGUGAUCGGCCACAUUGGAACUGAGACACGGUCCAAACUCCUACGGGAGGCAGCAGUGGGGAAUAUUGGGCAAUGGGGGAAACCCUGACCCAGCAACGCCGCGUGAAGGAAGAAGGUCUUCGGAUCGUAAACUUCUAUCCUUGGUGAAGAUAAUGACGGUAGCCGAGAAGGAAGCCCCGGCUAACUACGUGCCAGCAGCCGC
RNAcentral lists this ribosomal RNA (482 nucleotides) under uncultured bacterium. RNAcentral describes it as "bacterial SSU rRNA". It matches the Rfam family "Bacterial small subunit ribosomal RNA", at positions 26 to 518 of the family's 1533-position model. The record is from RNAcentral.